Molecule: ribosomal RNA, 253 nt
Filed under: uncultured bacterium
Lineage: Bacteria
Description: partial 16S ribosomal RNA
Rfam family: Bacterial small subunit ribosomal RNA
Source: RNAcentral
UACAGAGGUCUCAAGCGUUGUUCGGAUUCAUUGGGCGUAAAGGGUGCGUAGGCGGCGCGGUAAGUCGGGUGUGAAAUCUCGGAGCUUAACUCCGAAACUGCAUUCGAUACUGCCGUGCUUGAGGACUGGAGAGGAGACUGGAAUUUACGGUGUAGCGGUGAAAUGCGUAGAUAUCGUAAGGAAGACCGGUGGCGAAGGCGGCGAUCUGGACGAUGACUGACGCUGAGACGCGAAAGCGUGGGGAGCAAACAGG